AUUGAACGCUGGCGGCAUGCUUUACACAUGCAAGUCGAACGGUAACAGGCCGCAAGGUGCUGACGAGUGGCGAACGGGUGAGUAAUGCAUCGGAACGUGCCCAGUCGUGGGGGAUAACUACUCGAAAGAGUAGCUAAUACCGCAUACGAUCUAUGGAUGAAAGCGGGGGACCGUAAGGCCUCGCGCGAUUGGAGCGGCCGAUGUCAGAUUAGGUAGUUGGUGGGGUAAAGGCUCACCAAGCCAACGAUCUGUAGCUGGUCUGAGAGGACGACCAGCCACACUGGGACUGAGACACGGCCCAGACUCCUACGGGAGGCAGCAGUGGGGAAUUUUGGACAAUGGGCGCAAGCCUGAUCCAGCAAUGCCGCGUGCAGGAAGAAGGCCUUCGGGUUGUAAACUGCUUUUGGACGGAACGAAACGGCUCUGGUUAAUACCCGGGGCUAAUGACGGUACCGUAAGAAUAAGCACCGGCUAACUACGUG
RNAcentral lists this ribosomal RNA (482 nucleotides) under uncultured bacterium. RNAcentral's name for it is "partial 16S ribosomal RNA". It matches the Rfam family "Bacterial small subunit ribosomal RNA", at positions 30 to 507 of the family's 1533-position model. The record is from RNAcentral.